UGGGGAUAAUCCCCCAUAGGUGUAGACUUCUGGAAUGGGUCUACGCCGAAAGGGCUACGGCACCAUCCCUGCCGUAGCCGCCCGAGGAUGGGGCUGCGGCCUAUCAGGUAGUUGGCGGGGUAACGGCCCGCCAAGCCUAUAACGGGUAGGGGCCGUGAGAGCGGGAGCCCCGAGAUGGGCACUGAGACAAGGGCCCAGGCCCUACGGGGUGCACCAGGGGCGAAACUUCCGCAAUGCGGGAAACCGUGACGGAGUCACCCCGAGUGCCACCCGAUGAGGGUGGCUUUUGCCCGGUCUAAAAAGCCGGGCGAAUAAGCGGGGGGCAAGCUUGGUGUCAGCCGCCGCGGUAAUACCAACCCCGCGAGUGGUCGGGACGUUUAUUGGGCCUAAAGCGUCCGUAGCCGGCCCGGUAAGUCCCUCCUUAAAGCCCACGGCUCAACCGUGGGAGCGGAGGGAUACUGCCGGGCUAGGGGGCGGGAGAGGCCGGGGGUACUCCUGGGGUAGGGGCGAAAUCCUAUAAUCCCAGGAGGACCACCAGUGGCGAAGGCGCCCGGCUAGCACGCGCCCGACGGUGAGGGACGAAAGCUGGGGGAGCAAAGGGGAUUAGAUACCCCCGUAGUCCCAGCUGUAAACGAUGCAGGCUAGGUGUUAGGCGGGCUUCGUGCCCGCCUAGUGCCGUAGGGAAGCCGUUAAGCCUGCCGCCUGGGGAGUACGGCCGCAAGGCUGAAACUUAAAGGAAUUGGCGGGGGAGCACCACAAGGGGUGAAGCUUGCGGUUUAUUG
RNAcentral lists this ribosomal RNA (782 nucleotides) under uncultured archaeon. RNAcentral describes it as "bacterial SSU rRNA". It matches the Rfam family "Archaeal small subunit ribosomal RNA", at positions 141 to 907 of the family's 1478-position model. The record is from RNAcentral.